Molecule: non-coding RNA, 44 nt
Filed under: Schistosoma mattheei
Lineage: Eukaryota; Metazoa; Platyhelminthes; Trematoda; Strigeidida; Schistosomatidae
Source: RNAcentral
AGCAGCUGACGAGUCCCAAAUCAGACGAAACGCGCGUCCUGGAU